UUCGGAUUGCGGCGACGUAGGCGGUUCGCUGCCCGCGACGUUGUGAGAAGUCCACUGAACCUUAUCAUUUAGAGGAGGAGAAGUCGUAACAAGGUUUCCGUAGGUGACCUGCGGAAGGAUCAUUG
Molecule: ribosomal RNA, 125 nt
Filed under: Cerradicola praeandina
Lineage: Eukaryota; Viridiplantae; Streptophyta; Magnoliopsida; Fabales; Fabaceae
Description: Camptosema praeandinum partial 18S rRNA ribosomal
Rfam family: Eukaryotic small subunit ribosomal RNA
Source: RNAcentral